CAGUUCGGAUUGUAGUCUGCAACCCGACUACAUGAAGCUGGAAUCGCUAGUAAUCGCGGAUCAGAAUGCCGCGGUGAAUACGUUCCCGGGUCUUGUACACACCGCCCGUCACACCAUGGGAGUCGGAAAUGCCCGAAGUCUGUGACCUAACCGAGAGGGAGGAGCAGCCGAAGGCAGGUCUGAUGACUGGGGUGAAGUCGUAACAAGGUAUC
Molecule: ribosomal RNA, 212 nt
Filed under: uncultured bacterium
Lineage: Bacteria
Description: partial 16S ribosomal RNA
Rfam family: Bacterial small subunit ribosomal RNA
Source: RNAcentral